UGUUUUUAUGCCCAACUUAUGAUAGUAGAGGGGCAUUAUGUUUUCUGGUCUGUGCCUCCGUUCGUCCGUCCGCUUCAGGUUAAAGUUUUUGGUCAAGGUAGUUUUUGAUGAAGUUAAAGUUACAUCAACUUGAAACUUAGUACACAUGUUCCCUAUGAUAUGAUCUUUCUAGUUUUAAUUCCAAGUUAAAGUUUUGACCCCAA
Molecule: long non-coding RNA, 203 nt
Filed under: Mytilus galloprovincialis (Mediterranean mussel)
Lineage: Eukaryota; Metazoa; Mollusca; Bivalvia; Mytilida; Mytilidae
Source: RNAcentral